GAUGAACGCUGGCGGCGUGCUUAACACAUGCAAGUCGAACGAUGAAGCCCAGCUUGCUGGGUGGAUUAGUGGCGAACGGGUGAGUAACACGUGAGUAACCUGCCCUUAACUCUGGGAUAAGCCUGGGAAACUGGGUCUAAUACCGGAUAGGAGCGUCCACCGCAUGGUGGGUGUUGGAAAGAUUUGUCGGUUUUGGAUGGACUCGCGGCCUAUCAGCUUGUUGGUGAGGUAAUGGCUCACCAAGGCGACGACGGGUAGCCGGCCUGAGAGGGUGACCGGCCACACUGGGACUGAGACACGGCCCAGACUCCUACGGGAGGCAGCAGUGGGGAAUAUUGCACAAUGGGCGCAAGCCUGAUGCAGCGACGCCGCGUGAGGGAUGACGGCCUUCGGGUUGUAAACCUCUUUCAGUAGGGAAGAAGCGAAAGUGACGGUACCUGCAGAAGAAGCACCGGCUAACUACGUG
Molecule: ribosomal RNA, 466 nt
Filed under: uncultured bacterium
Lineage: Bacteria
Description: partial 16S ribosomal RNA
Rfam family: Bacterial small subunit ribosomal RNA
Source: RNAcentral